This 253-nucleotide ribosomal RNA is filed under the name uncultured bacterium. RNAcentral's name for it is "partial 16S ribosomal RNA". It matches the Rfam family "Bacterial small subunit ribosomal RNA", at positions 524 to 776 of the family's 1533-position model. The record is from RNAcentral.
UACGAAGGGGGCUAGCGUUGCUCGGAAUCACUGGGCGUAAAGCGCACGUAGGCGGCUUUCUAAGUCAGGGGUGAAAUCCUGGAGCUCAACUCCAGAACUGCCUUUGAUACUGGAGAGCUUGAGUCCGGAAGAGGUGAGUGGUACUCCGAGUGUAGAGGUGAAAUUCGUAGAUAUUCGCAAGAACACCAGUGGCGAAGGCGGCUCACUGGCCCGGUACUGACGCUGAGGUGCGAAAGCGUGGGGAGCAAACAGG